GGGUAAACAAAACACCUUUAAAAAUUUGGAUAUUUUGAAGUUUAUAAAAGGCCGUUUAAGAAGGAAUUACUCAUUUGGAGUUUAGAGGUGGACUAAGAAAAGGCCUAUGAAAUUUUGGUUUUUAGGAUUAUACCUCUUCCAUGUUAGCCCCGAAAUAGUUAAUCACAAAAGAAUUUAUUUUUCGACAAAAACUGGAUACACUAUUCCGAAGAUUUACGAUUCAACUUUUCCUGAUAAUAAAGUUUGCCGAGCUGUUCACAUCCAAGGGGUUGUGCGUCAUGGAAUUAGAAAUCCGGGAUUUUCAGAUAUUAAAAACAUCAAUAAAUUAUUGC
Zophobas morio is the source of this 332-nucleotide long non-coding RNA. RefSeq lists it as uncharacterized. Lineage: Eukaryota; Metazoa; Arthropoda; Insecta; Coleoptera; Tenebrionidae. The transcript is spliced from 3 exons. The record is from RefSeq and is a predicted model, not a curated record.